UUGAACUGGAGAGUUUGAUUCUGGCUCAGAUUGAACGCUGGCGGCGUGCUUAACACAUGCAAGUCGUACGCGAAAGGGACUUCGGUCCCGAGUAAAGUGGCGCACGGGUGAGUAACACGUGGAUAAUCUGUCUCUAUGAUGGGGAUAACAGUUGGAAACGACUGCUAAUACCGAAUACGCUCAUGAU
Molecule: ribosomal RNA, 187 nt
Filed under: Desulfovibrio piger
Lineage: Bacteria; Pseudomonadati; Thermodesulfobacteriota; Desulfovibrionia; Desulfovibrionales; Desulfovibrionaceae
Description: partial 16S ribosomal RNA
Rfam family: Bacterial small subunit ribosomal RNA
Source: RNAcentral